This 468-nucleotide ribosomal RNA is filed under the name uncultured bacterium. RNAcentral describes it as "partial 16S ribosomal RNA". It matches the Rfam family "Bacterial small subunit ribosomal RNA", at positions 28 to 507 of the family's 1533-position model. The record is from RNAcentral.
GACGAACGCUGGCGGCGUGCUUAACACAUGCAAGUCGAACGGAAAGGCCCUGCUUUUGUGGGGUGCUCGAGUGGCAAACGGGUGAGUAACACGUGAGUAACCUGCCCUUGACUUUGGGAUAACUUCAGGAAGCUGGGGCUAAUACCGGAUAGGAGCUCCUGCUGCAUGGUGGGGGUUGGAAAGUUUCGGCGGUUGGGGAUGGACUCGCGGCUUAUCAGCUUGUUGGUGGGGUAGUGGCUUACCAAGGCUUUGACGGGUAGCCGGCCUGAGAGGGUGACCGGCCACAUUGGGACUGAGAUACGGCCCAGACUCCUACGGGAGGCAGCAGUGGGGAAUAUUGCACAAUGGGCGGAAGCCUGAUGCAGCAACGCCGCGUGCGGGAUGACGGCCUUCGGGUUGUAAACCGCUUUCGCCUGUGACGAAGCGUGAGUGACGGUAAUGGGUAAAGAAGCACCGGCUAACUACGUG